Molecule: ribosomal RNA, 345 nt
Filed under: Triticum aestivum (bread wheat)
Lineage: Eukaryota; Viridiplantae; Streptophyta; Magnoliopsida; Poales; Poaceae
Description: partial small subunit ribosomal RNA
Source: RNAcentral
AUGCUCAAGGCUGGAUUGAUCGUGCCUAGCAUCAGCCCUUUCUCCUCUCCGGUGUUGCUGGUCAAGAAGAAAGAUCAAACUUGGCGGUUUUGUGUGGAUUACCGGCAUUUGAAUGCAAUCACUGUCAAGAACACUUAUCCCCUACCUGUGAUCGAUGAAUUACUAGACGAGCUGGCAGGGUCUCGGUGGUUCUCUAAACUAGAUCUGCGGGCAGGGUAUCAUCAAAUCCGUCUGGUGGAGCAAGACGAAGAAAAGACAACGUUCAAGACCCAUCAAGGGCACUACCAAUUUAGGGUUCUGCCGUAUGGUGUGACAGGUGGCCCGCCAACAUUUCAGAAUGCUGUG